This 83-nucleotide transfer RNA is filed under the name Euglenaformis proxima. RNAcentral describes it as "tRNA-Leu". It matches the Rfam family "tRNA". From Rfam's summary of the family: Transfer RNA (tRNA) molecules are approximately 80 nucleotides in length. Their secondary structure includes four short double-helical elements and three loops (D, anti-codon, and T loops). Lineage: Eukaryota; Euglenozoa; Euglenophyceae; Euglenales; Euglenaceae. The record is from RNAcentral.
GCAAGCAUGGCGAAAUUUGGUAGACGCGCGGUAUUUAGGUUUCCGUAUUGAAUAAUAUGAGAGUUCGAGUCUCUCUGCUUGUA